GACGAACGCUGGCGGCGUGCUUAACACAUGCAAGUCGAACGGAAAGGCCUUUUCGGAGGUACUCGAGUGGCGCACGGGUGCGUAACACGUGGGUGAUCUGCCCUGCACUCUGGGAUAAGCCUGGGAAACUGGGUCUAAUACCGGAUAGGACCGCACUUUAGUGUGUGUGGUGGAAAGUUUUUUCGGUGUAGGAUGAGCCCGCGGCCUAUCAGCUUGUUGGUGGGGUAAUGGGCUACCAAGGCGGCGACGGGUAGCUGGACUGAGGGGUUGGUCGGCCACAUUGGGACUGAGAGACGGCCCAGACUGCGACGGGAGGGAGAAGGGGGGAAUAUUGCAGAAGGGGCGCAAGCCUGAUGCAGAGACGCCGCGUGGGGGAUGACGGUCUUCGGGGUGUAAACUCCUUGCGCCAGGGACGAAGCGUUUUGUGACGGUACCUGGAGAAGAAGCACCGGCUAACUACGUG
Molecule: ribosomal RNA, 463 nt
Filed under: uncultured bacterium
Lineage: Bacteria
Description: partial 16S ribosomal RNA
Rfam family: Bacterial small subunit ribosomal RNA
Source: RNAcentral